Molecule: long non-coding RNA, 26213 nt
Filed under: Fragaria vesca (wild strawberry)
Lineage: Eukaryota; Viridiplantae; Streptophyta; Magnoliopsida; Rosales; Rosaceae
Description: long non-coding RNA (FVES_LNC000383)
Source: RNAcentral
AAACAAUAAAAAUGUUCACUGAUACACACAACAGAAGUAACUAAAAAUAUUUCUCAUUAGAGCAACUCCAACAAUAAGUGUUAUUUGAAUUUGCUAUUCUCAUUCUAGCACUUAUUGUGGCACUAUUUAUAUUUCAUUAAUUUUCCAUCUCCAACAAUAAGGUGUUAUAUGGAGCAGUGGCAGAUCUAGAAUUUAAAGAUGGGGUGAGCUUGAACUUUGGCCGAAGGGCAAAAAAAAAAAAAUUCCAGUACAACCAUGCAAAAUGUAGGAGCUCAACCAGAACUUACAAUUUCAGAUUCUAUAUAAGAAGAAGAAGAUUAGAAGGUUAUACUUGAGGAUUUUCAGAGAUUUAAGAAGAGUAAUAACCCAACAACCCCAACAAAUUGAACCAAUGAAAUUCAAUUAUCAUACUUACAACCAUGUAUUAAAUAGAGGAAGAAGAGGAUUACAAGAGUUAGGUAACUAAGAUUAAAGAGUAGAGCAUCUGAGAAAUUGAGGAAGUGAGGGACUGAGAAAUUGAAGAUUGGAGGCAAAUCGUUGAGUGAAGGAUUGAGAAAUUGAAGAAGAGAAGGGAGGGAUUGUAAUCAGGCGUUGAGGGCCGGUGGCAAGUCGUUGUCGGGGAGUACCAGAGGAGGCCGGGAAGAAGGAGAUUAUGGUGAAGCCGUGGAGGACUGGAGGGGAGUGGAGGCGGAGGGGAAGAGGGAUAGGUCAUAGGUCAUACGUGUUUUAGUGUUUAAGUUGAAGGAGGGUGAUUGGGUGAAGGAGGAGGUUGAGGACUUGAGGCAAGUCUGAUGAGUGAGGCCUCAAGGUUGAGGACUUGAGGCAAGUCUAAUCCACAAGAGAUGGAGAAUGAGAUUGUGGACUUGGGUAGUUGGGUGGGUUGGGCUUGAUCACUUGGUGGCUGGGCAUAUAUGAUAUAUCCCAAAAUAUAUAUAUAUAUAUAUACCUUAGUUUUUUUAUUUUUUGCCCAAUUUCUUUGGUUGGGCUUGAGCCCCACCCACUUCUAUACUGCCUCUGCGCCUGAUAUGGAGGUGCUAUUCUCACUAUUCCAACAAUGAGCUAUUCUCAUUUUAGCACUUAUUGUGACACUUCAUAUUUCAUUAAUUUUUCAUCUCCAACAAUAAAAUGUUAUAUGGAGGUGUUAUUCUCAUUAUUCCAACAAUGAGGUAUUGUAUCAUGUGAGGCGUGUACUUGUGAAGCCCACAGGGGGCUGGUCUUAGAAAAAGUCAUGAAUAUAAGACUUGGGAUGACACUUGGGGCUAUAUUAUUAAGACCAAUACCUAAUCUUUUUUACUGUUGGAGAUAACUUUUUUUAUUUCAUGGGUUGGUCUUGGUUUUUAACUCUACCGUUGGAGUUGCCCUUAAGAAUUAUUACACAAGACUUCAAAAACCUGGAACUAGAAAAGUUAAAACUCAAACGCAAGAUUUUUUUUUUCUUUAUCCAAAAGGACUUUCCACUUCUUAUAAAUCUCAUCUGUCACAUUGUGGAUACAAAAUUUGACCAUAAAAAAUUUAAAAAAAAAAAAAAAUAACAUUAAGUCUGUUUAGCAUAUCCUCAACCAAGGAUAAUUUAAUCCAUCCAGCCUUAUAUCCAAUGCCAAACAACAGCUUCAUGUAAUGACUAUCAAUCUACAGGGCGUUAAGCAGAAUUUAAAUGUCAUAUAGAAGUAUAAGUUAUGCCAUGUAUUUGAAUUACUCUGACAGUCAGUUACCCGCCUCAAUCUACAGGCUCCAUCAGUUGAAUGGACCUGUCCAUGUCUCAGAGACACCAUCAGAUGGGUUGCCGAUGCUUGAACAAAUCAAAAUCAUCGCAAUUCAACAGUGAAAACUGAAAACGCAGGUGUGAAGGUUUUGAAAAGGAAUUUCCAACGGAAUUGCUAGCGUAGACUACUCUCCUUAACACCUACUCAAAAUGGGAAACUUGAAACCGAAAGCAUUGUUCUGUAGUUUUAUUGUGUUCAGCAAGCUUGUAUGUUGGAAGAUACUGAAAUCAGAUGUCACAUUCAGUUGCAUCUUAUAUGAAUAACCGUGCCAUAGAGGCAGCUUUAGAACAGAAUAAACUGAUUACUCACUGAUCAACUAAUAAUCUGAUAAGAUUUCCAUCUUUAUGUUUAGCUGGAAAUGAAGAGUUUAGCAUCAUGUACAGUUCAAGUAAAAGCCGCUCGGCACUAUGGGAGUCCGUUCACUGCUAGCCUGCUACCAAUAGUAUCUUCAUAAGUUGUAAGUUGAAGUCUAAUAUUAGAGAUUACCAUUGUUUGACAAUAUGAUAAUCUGUAAUUACACAGAUUAUAUUCCUCUCCCCUGUUCAUUUCUCUGAAGUGUCAGGUGUUAGGUCUCAACAAGGAUUCAGUGCUUCGAGAAGGAAAAGAAACGGAAAUAGAGCACGUUUUGAGCCUACUGGUGUAGACAUAAGUUACAAAAACGAAAACCGUUGUUCCAGUAGUAAAACUGUGCAGAAAGCAACACUUCUUUUUUCUUUCUUUUUUUGGUUAAAAACGAAGCCAAAACGGAUUAGACUAAAAGGAAAAACAAACUAGAUACUAAAGCAAGCACCAGUUCUUCUGGCCCUAGUAACAGCAGAAAGAUCAUCCAAGAAGCUUUGAGGAGCAUGCGCAGGAGGACAGUUGAAGAUAACUAAACCAAACUCAUGUGUGAUGCAGCAUUUAGCAAGGCAAUCAGCAGUCAUAUUGCACUCUCUGAAAACAUGGGAUAACCUUGAGACAUUCAUCUUGUUCAUCAAGGCACUGCAGCCAUGAAGGGACCCCAAAGGAUGAGAUCAAGGUGGGAAUUAUACAUAAGUUGAACCAGAACAGCAGAGUCUGAUUCAAGAAAGUAACACUUCAUGCUUUCUGCUCUUCUAUUUUCAUUAACAAAGAAAACUACAAGAUAUUUUAUGUAAGAAAAAUGGCCUGUGUACAUUGGUUUACAAAAAAGAAAGUGGCAGUGUUUGGCAGCUGAGCUCUAUCUUAUAUUAUUGCUGAUGGCUAAGCUUAAAUUGCUUAUUUAUCCUCAACCCCAGCACCGAAUAUGCAUAUGUCACAGUUGCAGCUACAACAGAGACCCCAAUGUAUACACAUACGGUGGUAGUACAAACAUAAAUGUACCUGCAGAAAAAAUGUAUACAAUAAAUUCCAGCCUGAGUAAAGUAAAUAGCAGCAGUGGACUGCCUGUAGCUAUAUCAAGUGCAUCAAUUAUCUUGUUCUGGAUUCAUUGGUGUUUCAUAUUUGUAGAAUACUGAUUAGUUAAUUUGUAUGGAGCUUAGCCAGUUACCCCUCUCUUCUUUAACCUCUUUAACUCUUUUUGUACUCCAUAUAUUUUCAAUAUAUUACCCUUUUCUAUGUAAAUCUGUAACAGAAAACCUUGUCCAACAUGCAUUAGUAUCAUAAAAGUUUUGUACUGCAUCUUUCAAUGAAUUAUUGUAGUUUUAUUUAUUUAUUAUACUUUAUUCAAAAAGCAAAUAAAUAAAAAAUAAAAUAACUAAUCACUUCUCUUUGAAAAGCACAAAAGAAGAAAGCAAGGAACAUCGCCUACUAUAAGACUGAAGCAGAGAGGACUUACUUUGGAGAAAAGACGCUCCAAAUGUAAAGAUGGUUCCUCAUAACCAACAAUACGAUGGUGUACACUGUCAAUAGAAUGGAGUCCAAGCCCAGUGGAACUAGACAAGGAAAGCCAAUAAUCAUUUUGAGUAGUUGUCUUGAAUCUGCAUCAGACGGAGAUAUGAAAUAGCUUGUAUCCUUCAAAGAGAUAUACAUCACCAUGCUAAGAAUAAAUAGCAUUGGGGAAGCAUAGGUGAUAAUGAACAUUAAAAUUCCAGAAAGUACUGUCGAGUGACUUGAGAUGCCCUAGCAACAAGAACAAUGUUUGAAUGUCAAUUUUCAAAUCUCAAAUGCAGAGCAAUGUGUACCCAAUAUAGUUCUUUUUAAUAUGCACCAUGCAAGGGGUAAAGAGACAUACAAUAAAAGCUCCGGCAACAUCAAUAGUAGCUAGAGAAUUGCUGUUCCCUAAAGCAUAAUGGCCUGCCAUUCCCAAAAAGUAAAAUGCAGAAACCUAAAUGAACAAAGCACAAGUAUGAGUAGAAUAUAAAUUAGGAUUGGGACUAAACAAAACAAGGUAGAGGUUGAUUGCUAGAAUGUUAUGUUGACAAACUGGGAAGAAUUCAGUCCCCAGUACACAUUAAAAUAUCCGGCAACAAAACCUACCGGGCUGUGGCAAGAGACCAUCUUCGGAAAAAAUAAUAAUAAUAAUAAUUCAAUGCAGCACACCCCGCACACGUAUUUAAAAAUGAUACUACAUGGUACAAUUCAAGAUCUAGACUGAAUAUCAUCUAAUAUGAUGACAUAGGGUCAGAGUAGAAGAAUUUCACCAUCAACUACUUGCUUGUCAACAUUAUGAGGACAACUAUGCUACACAUUUCUUAACUAUUUAAUGGUUAUUUGAACUGCUUACUUCACAGAGUAAGAACUGCGUGGCAUAAUAGCCUUUUUUUUUCUUUUCUUUUUGGCAAUGCAUAAUGGCCUUUUAUUGACAUACCAGUCACUACCAAAACCCAGCACCAAUAUUAACUUGACUUCAAUACACUCAACUUUGAAAUCAGUAUAUCCUCAAGACAAGAUGAUAUUGAAACUGACCUCAACCCACUGCUUGUGGUGCCGCCCAUUAUACGAAAAAUACAUCAUGCUGGCCAAAGUUUGCACAAGUAGCAGGAGUAUAGGCAUUGAGUUAACUGUCUGUUGGAGCAAAAGCUGCAGAAGACACCAGCAGGAUAUGUAUGCCCACCCAAUUACAUAUAAACAUUCUCUCAACUGCACCAGCAGUGACUUAUUCUGGACUUCACUGGGAGCAGAUGUCGACAUAUACGCAUCAUGACUCAAGUAGGUCUCAGAUAUUGAAAUUGGUACAAGCCAUGGCAAGGAAAUAACUGUCCCACUUGUGGAAACACUCAGGACUGCAUAAAUCAUUUGUACCAAUGCAGUAGAACUGUGACUGGAUGCCCCAAACAUCUCAUCCUGAUGUUUGAGGAUAUGUUGCAAAACCAACAACCCAGACAUAAGAAAGCUAAAUCCAAUGACCAGAACUAUAUUUUUGUUUGAUCCAUAUAAAAAGAGAGCGUAGAAGCUUAAGGCGAUCACUAGAAGGCAUGUGACUAGCUGAACUGAUUUUACAUUAUUGUUCCCAGCCUGCUCAAGCCACUUGGAUAUGUCAGGAAGAUUAAUCCAAUUCACGCCGCCUUGGUGCCAACCUCUCAAUAUCCUCCCAGAAAUGAGAAGCACAAAGACGGAACUCAUUUGAAGACCACUUCUCUUGUUUUGUCCCUUGGAAUAACUAUGUACACUACUUUGCAUUGCUUUACGCAAACAUAUCAACUGCAAUGUGGAAGCCAUGAAAUGCCAAAUAUACUGCUCUUCCUCUACCAAAGAACUUGAUGUCAUACAUACAAUGAGAAUCAUUAUAACACCCAAUACAAAAGUCUCUUCUAGACACCAGGUCUGCAUGAUGCUCUUCAAGUCAAAAAGACAUUGCAUCUCUCUAGUGUGGGCUUCUUUGUAGAUGCGAAACAGAAGGCUUAACAGUAUCAGACAAGAUAGGAGCAUUGCCACUAUGCCAAAAGUAAGCAGGCUUACAGGUUUCUAGAAAAUAAAAAGAUUUGUCAGAAUAAAUAAAAUAAAUUAAGAGAAAAAAAGUAAUGUUAAAGAAACCAAUUAUAGUAGAAAAAAAUGAAAAUUUCUCCAUGAGAAACCAGUACCACCUAUGUUCAUCUUUAGAAGGGAGAAAAGAAUAUACAUACAUCAGUUGCUCUGCGUGAUAGCCACUCACUUGCAGUUCUCAGAAACUCAUAGUAUGCUGCAACACUGCUGGUGUAGUCUUUCCUACUAUUAUACCUAUUCACAUAAUUAUAAAGUAAGACUGGCAUUAAAGUGGAUCCUUAUGGAAUUUUGUAACAUGAUAAAAGUAUAAGAUAGUUUCAUGUAUCCACCUGGAGACUUCCUUAGACAUCCAGGACUUUUUGAGAAGAGCAGCAUUUGUAUAUAAGCAGCAGCAUAUCCUUUCAAUACUCCCAUAACACUUGGUUAUUCUGGACUCUUGAUCACCACCUGAGCCAUCAUAUGGAUGAUUUCGACAUGAUAAACCAGGUAUUUGUGCUUGCAAUAAUCUAAGUAAUUGCCAGGAAUUCAGCUCCAGUGCCUUCAGCUGUUGGUCUUCUUUACUCACAAAGACAAGAAAGCAUCAUUAGAUUUUAUACAAAGUCACAAACUCAGUAGUACAUGGGAAUUGAGGCAGACAAUUUUGUAGAAAUUUCAGGCUACAAAAUAUAUACUACAUUUAACAUUUAAUUUUAACAAGCUCUACUGUAUAAACUGAAAAUAUACAUCAUUGUAAGUGUCGUGACUUAACUUUUCAAUGUUAAUUCAGUCUAAAAAAAUAUAUAUUUUAAAACCACAUGCUGUUGGGAUAUUUUUUUAUUUUCUUCAAAAAAAAUAGCAUCCCUGAAGAAUAUACACGAGAGUGAUGAGACCCUUUUUAAGAAGAAAAAUCGGUGAAUGCAUAUCUCAAGCGAAAAUGGUAUGGUGUGCCUGUUACAGUAUUAUUGUUUAUUGAUGCUCAAUUUGUAAUUAAAUAUAUAAACUUUCUCAAUCUAUGCACACGAUAAUGCACACAUUGUUUAGGAGACAAAUCUAAGUACACAUCAUUCUUUCAGUGUCUUACACAACCAACCAGGUACACGCACACCAUUCUAUAAUGCGUAGUAUACAUAAUACACACAGACAUUCAUAUAUAUCUCNNNNNNNNNNNNNNNNNNNNNNNNNNNNNNNNNNNNNNNNNNNNNNNNNNNNNNNNNNNNNNNNNNNNNNNNNNNNNNNNNNNNNNNNNNNNNNNNNNNNNNNNNNNNNNNNNNNNNNNNNNGGCGGACUCGCCAGGGAGGGAAAGUGGUCGGGGAAGCUGCUGGAGUCCGCUAGGGUGGAGGCGCAUCCUCGCCGGUGCCGUACGGUGGCGAACGGAGGGAAAUCCGCACCUUAAGGCGGUGCGGACGUCCGUAUCUGAAACGAACUGUAUAUAUAUAUAUAUAUAUAUAUAUAUAUAGAGAGAGAGAGAGAGAGAGAGAGUACCACUCAAAGACCCAAAGAUUUCUGGAAUCAGGACACCAACAUUGUUCUUUGGAAUUGGCACGCCUAAUAGUAGAGCUAAAGUUGGUGCAAUGUCAACCUGGACAACCACAAACGCAAUGCAGGUGAGAGAGGAAGAAGUCGGCAUAAUAUAAUUUCAUAUCACCAUUCUGCAGACUAAAAAACAAAUUAUUUUGAGUGACAAAAAUGUGUUGGUCAUAUACUUCUUUCUCUAGUCCAGCAAGAUAAAUUAUGUUCAGUUCAAUGAAUCUAGGAAGCUUAAUAAUGCUGCAAUUUUAUAACAAUGCAAUUCUAUGAUUACCUGGUAAAUAUUGUUAUGGGUAGACGACAAAUAAUCAGAGACAUCAUUUUUCAGGCCAAUAAAUAGUGCUAAGGAGUCUGUUUCUUCAUAUGAGGACCCUCCAUGAUUACCACUCUCAGUCAUGCCAUGGUCACUUACUAUGACCUAGAUAAGAAAAUCAUAAUAGAGACAUAUUAAUGAUUAGUUAUAGUUCGUGGAUGACAACAGAUAGAGCAGAAAGAAAAAAANNNNNNNNNNNNNNNNNNNNNNNNNNNNNNNNNNNNNNNNNNNNNNNNNNNNNNNNNNNNNNNNNNNNNNNNNNNNNNNNNNNNNNNNNNNNNNNNNNNNNNNNNNNNNNNNNNNNNNNNNNNNNNNNNNNNNNNNNNNNNNNNNNNNNNNNNNNNNNNNNNNNNNNNNNNNNNNNNNNNNNNNNNNNNNNNNNNNNNNNNNNNNNNNNNNNNNNNNNNNNNNNNNNNNNNNNNNNNNNNNNNNNNNNNNNNNNNNNNNNNNNNNNNNNNNNNNNNNNNNNNNNNNNNNNNNNNNNNNNNNNNNNNNNNNNNNNNNNNNNNNNNNNNNNNNNNNNNNNNNNNNNNNNNNNNNNNNNNNNNNNNNNNNNNNNNNNNNNNNNNNNNNNNNNNNNNNNNNNNNNNNNNNNNNNNNNNNNNNNNNNNNNNNNNNNNNNNNNNNNNNNNNNNNNNNNNNNNNNNNNNNNNNNNNNNNNNNNNNNNNNNNNNNNNNNNNNNNNNNNNNNNNNNNNNNNNNNNNNNNNNNNNNNNNNNNNNNNNNNNNNNNNNNNNNNNNNNNNNNNNNNNNNNNNNNNNNNNNNNNNNNNNNNNNNNNNNNNNNNNNNNNNNNNNNNNNNNNNNNNNNNNNNNNNNNNNNNNNNNNNNNNNNNNNNNNNNNNNNNNNNNNNNNNNNNNNNNNNNNNNNNNNNNNNNNNNNNNNNNNNNNNNNNNNNNNNNNNNNNNNNNNNNNNNNNNNNNNNNNNNNNNNNNNNNNNNNNNNNNNNNNNNNNNNNNNNNNNNNNNNNNNNNNNNNNNNNNNNNNNNNNNNNNNNNNNNNNNNNNNNNNNNNNNNNNNNNNNNNNNNNNNNNNNNNNNNNNNNNNNNNNNNNNNNNNNNNNNNNNNNNNNNNNNNNNNNNNNNAUAAAUCAUCCACACUUGGAACUACCCAGUAGAGGCAGUUUUCUAAGUAUCGUUAUUAAAAUAUUUUGGGUAUUUAACAAUGUGGCAGAGUAAAAGUACAAAUAUUCAUCACAUCAGUUAUCUACAAGUUUAUACCUACGCAGUGUUAUGUACGAGUUUAUAACUACAGUGUUAUCUACUAGUUGAGGCUAACCAGAAAAUCCCAGUCAUCUCUGCUAAGCUCAUGACUGAGAUGUCGAGAAACAUUUUGAUCCACCUGUACUGUAUCUUUGACCUGUAGCAAAAGUACACAUACGGUACAAGUCAGGGUAUAAAUAAAUCUUCUUAACACCCUUAAACACAAAAAUGACCGACACGACUUCAAGCUUAAGAUGACUAAUAUAUUGAAAAGGUGAAAAAUUGCAUGACAACUGGCAAACCAAAAAUGGCAGUGUCCUAUAGAUACUCCAUAAGCUUCAAAGAAGACGUAUGCAAGCACACAAUGUUGGUGGUCAAAAGACUUACAAAGAAACUGCUGACUCCAUCAUGCCUCAUAAAUAAUCCUGGAAACAACUUGAGCCAUGUUUCAUCACCGAGCAUCACCAUUUUCCACCCAAUCUUGAAAAACUGGCCUGUGAGGCAAAGAAGUGGACAAGUAAAGUUGCAAUUCUGGACCGUCUCAAAAACAUUCAAGAGCUAAUAUAGCUUGCUAGUAUCGACUUACCCAGAAGAUUGUCAUCCACCAUAGCUUGUGUGUUAAAAUUCAAAGCCACAUCAAGGAAUCCCCCAAUUGCUCCAGAAACCAUAGCCUGCAAACCAAACCAAAGGCUGAUGAGAAAGCAGAUUUCCACAAGAAUAAUCAUCUGCACAUCAAAACAUUGCAAGAGACGCGACCUUCAAACGUGGCAUUGUAACAGUUGGAGGUGCGGCUUUAGCAUGGUACCCAACUGCCAUCCCAUUUCCAAGCAGUGACUGAGUAUACGGCAUAGCCUCCAUCAAGUUCUUGUUUGGAGGCUCACCAUCCUUGCCUAGAACAAACUCAGCCGGAAGACCAUCAAUAACCUAAACUGCCAUGAUCAUACAGAAAAUAACACGUCUUAUAAUCAACCAACACAUAUCGAAAAGAUGCAGAAAUCUCGAAGAAACUGGUUUUACAUUAGGAAACUAACCAUACCAUCAGUAUAAGCCUGUCAAAUGCAGGUGGGAUUCCAGAUAGUUCCUACAUUGCCAAAUACAACAAACCUUCACACUUUGACACAUUCAUUGCAUUCCGCACAAGUUCAAAAUUUGAUUGCCAAAUCAAAUAUAAUCAAGAGAAAAGCAGUAAACUUUCAGAAACCCAAAAUUUCUGAAGUGAAAAAUUACCCAAAUGCAGAGUAAAAAAACAACAAAAAAAAAAAACAAACCUUAUAGAGUGACCUGAGCUGAUGAGGAGGCACAUCACUCUGGCUCUCAUUUCGAUUUGAAUUGCAAGUGGGUUCUUCAAAACUCUCCGGACCACUUAAUCAUCAACAAAGUUACCACAUUUGAAUCAAAAUCACAACCCAAAAAAGAAAAAGAUUCAAUUUUUUUGUGCUUGGGUUUCUAUUUUUUCUGGGUUUUGUUUCAUAGAGAGAGAGAGAGAGAGAGAGAGAGAAGGGUACCUGUGGCCAGGAAGGGUAGGCUUGACGGGGAAGAAGCCGAAGACGAAGAGAGAGAGGCCGACGAGUUGGAUUGCGACUCCGGCGACGGUGAAGAGGGUCAGCUUGGUGCAGGAUAAUCCGGGCAUUGUUGAUUUCAAAGGUUGGAGCUUUGAAGAAGAAGAAUUUGAUGAAAGAGUGUUCCUACUAUUUUGGAUCCAACUGAAUAUGGAAGCACCAAGCAAUAUAUACUAGACCAGUCACUCUCGUGUCAAGAAUCUCAAAAUGGAAGGUCUAUGAAAUAUUUUUACCUGGUCUAGAUUUUAACUGUGGGCUUUAUUGGUUUUAUGUUUUUACCGAGUUAUGUGUUUUUCUCUUUGAUCACCACAAACAGCUUGGUAGAUUAGACUGUGCGUUGGAGGGUUCUCAACGAUCCACACUGGUCUCGACCCUCAACUCAUUUUGUUCAUUUGAAAAACAAAAGAAUGUGGCUUUGGUAAAGUCCUGCCCAACUAAAUCAAAAUGAGAAAGAACCACUCAAUUGUCAUCGAGUAAAGUAGCAUUACAUAUGAAGCUCUAGAGUGAGGGUUGCAACAGUAAUCUAAUCAUAAAGAGUCUUAGCAAAUUGUAUAAAUUAUUGAAUUACGUCAACAAAACAUACAUAAAAACUCAAUAAGCGCCAUUAAAGUCAAAUAAUAAGCGCCAUUAAAGUCAAACUUCAUUGCUUAUUUGCUCAACAAGCGGUCUUCAUUUAGAAAGAUAAAAAUUGGUUGCUGAGUGAGCUAUCAUUUUGUGAUCAAAAACAAUUUAGGUAUGACCAUCUCCGUUGUUCUCCUCAUCUCACCAAGAGAACAUAUGCAACAUCCACCUCACGUGAAAUUUAGCAUGCUUCCACUAAACCAACCCCGGUUAUUCAUUUAAUUUGCAAUGAUUUGUAAAACUGACUAUUUUUGAAAAUUACUGAUGAGGUAAAAAUCCCAACUUAAAUAGUGAUUAGGGCACUGAUUGGGUGAUUAAAACAUACUUUACUAAAAGAAAAGAAAGUGACUAAAGAUAACCCAUCUGGUACACCACCAUUGGUCCUUUGGCCUAUAGCGUAGACCAAAACCCAGCUUCCAUUUUCUUCUUCCUCUAUCUGAAUCGAAGUAGAAGACCUCAUUAGGGUUUCAUUCCAAUACGAAAACCCUAAAUUACCUUACUUUCCUGAAAAUGAGAGAACAACUCUAACUGGGUUAAUUGCCAGUCGGCUUUUUCUGUUUUCCGAUAACCCAAUCCGACGUCGUUUGAUUCCCAGUACCCAUAUAUAUUAUCUGAUCUCUCAUCGAAUUGGGUAAGUAAAUUUCUGUUCUUUUUCGAUUUGGAUUGGAUUUUAUGGAUCAAAGUUGAGAUUUUUAGGUGUUGAAUUGCAGGCAUGGAAUUGGGUUUGACUUGGUUCAAACUUGAAAUUGAAGCUGAUUUGAUAUUGGUACAAGCACUACUGCAUUUUGGUAACUACACAAGCAUUUCUGUGCUUUAAAGUUGCUUACUUUAUUAUCAAGAAUCAAAACUUGUGAUGAAUAUUUUGUUAGUUUCUUUCAAUUAUCGUUUUUGUGAUUUUGUAAUAUAUGUGAUCAGGAUAGUGAACUAGCUGAUCUUGCAAUCUGUAUUUAAGCUGAUAACAAUGGCCGAUCGGAAAGGUAAUGUGAAGCCUGCGAAUGGGAAGGCAUCUGGAACUACGGCGGGGAGCUCCAGUGCAUAUGUGAUUGAUGUUAAUAACUUCAGCAAGCGGCUGAAGCUGUUGUAUACGCAUUGGGAUGAACACCACAGUGGUCUAUGGGGUAACUCGGAUGUGCUUGCUAUUGCAACUCCUCCGACUUCAGAUGAUCUGCGGUACCUGAAGUCGUCGGCGUUGAAUAUCUGGUUGGUGGGGUUUGAGUUCCCGGAUACUAUCAUGGUGUUCACGAAGAAGCAGAUCCAUGUUUUGUGUAGCCAGAAGAAGGCCUCUCUGCUGGAUAUUGUGAAGAAGCCUGCGAAAGAGGCGGUUGGUGUUGAAGUUGUGAUGCAUGUGAAGCUCAAGAGUCAGGAUGGAACGGGGAUGAUGGAUAGCAUUUUUCAAGCUGUGAAGGCCCAAUCGAGCUCUAGUAGUAGAUCUAACCCUGUUGUUGGACACAUAGCAAGAGAGGCUCCGGAAGGGAAGCUUUUGGAGACUUGGAUGGACAAGUUGAAUAAUGCUAAUUUCGAGUUAGCUGAUGUAACAAAUGGGUUCUCAGACUUAUUUUCUGUCAAAGACUCCUCUGAGCUGACGAAUGUGAAGAAAGCUGCAUUCUUGACUUCUUCGGUGAUGAGGAGUUUUGUGGUACCUAAGCUUGAAAAAGUCAUUGAUGAGGAGAAGAAAAUUUCACAUUCGUCACUGAUGGAUGAAACAGAAAAGACCAUAGUGGAACCUGCAAGAAUUAAGGUGAAGCUGAAGGCAGACAAUGUUGAUAUUUGUUAUCCUCCAAUUUUCCAGAGUGGCGGAGGAUUUGAUCUAAAACCAAGUGCUUCAAGCAAUGAUGAGAAUCUUUGCUAUGACUCUACCAGUGUAAUUAUAUGUGCUGUUGGAUCACGGUACAACAGCUACUGCUCAAAUGUUGCUCGAACGUUUCUGAUUGAUGCGAAUUCUACACAGAGCAAAGCUUAUGAGGUUCUGCUUAAAGCUCAAGAAGCAGCAAUUAGUAAAUUGAAAUCUGGGAACAAGUUAUGUGCCGCAUACCAAGCUGCAGUUUCAGUAGUUGAAAAGGAGGCUCCAGAGUUGGCUGGGAACUUGACUAAAACAGCAGGAACUGGAAUUGGCCUUGAGUUUCGUGAGUCCGGUCUUAAUCUGAAUGCCAAGAAUGAUCGGAUUUUCAAACAAGGCAUGGUUUUCAACGUGUCUCUUGGUUUUCAGAACUUGCAGGCACAAACAAAAAACCCAAAGACCCAGAUAUUUUCACUAUUAUUAGCAGAUACAGUUAUUGUUGGUAAAGAGAGCCCUGAAAUUUUGACUAAUGUAAGCUCUAAAGCUGUGAAGGAUGUGGCUUACUCAUUCAAUGAUGAUGACGAUGUUGAAGAAGAGAGGACAAAAAUCAAAGCCGGUAAUAAAACUCCUGGGAGUACCAAGAGUAAGGCCACACUUAGGUCAGACAACCAUGAAAUGUCAAAGGAAGAAAUACGGAGGCAGCAUCAGGCAGAACUUGCCCGCCAAAAGAAUGAAGAAACUGCUAGGAGGCUUGCUGGUGGGGAUUCUGCAGCAACAAACAAUCGUGGUGCUGGCAAGACAAUUGGUGAUCUGAUUGCAUAUAAGAAUGUCAAUGAUCUGGCUCCUCCAAGAGAGUUAAUGAUUCAGGUUGAUCAGAAAAAUGAAGCCAUCCUCGUGCCGGUUUAUGGAAACAUGGUUCCUUUCCAUGUAGCCACCGUGAAGAGUGUUUCCAGCCAUCAGGACACUACCCAGGACAGUAACCGAAAUUGCUACAUCCGUAUAAUCUUUAAUGUACCUGGCACUCCAUUUACUCCUCAUGAUGCAAAUUCCCUCAAGUUUCAAGGAUCAAUUUAUUUGAAGGAAGUUUCGUUCCGCUCUAAAGACCAAAGGCAUAUAAGUGAAGUAGUACAGCUUAUUAAAACCCUUCGCCGCCAGGUUGCCUCAAGGGAGUCUGAAAGAGCUGAGAGGGCAACUUUAGUUACACAGGAAAAGCUCCAACUAGCCGGAGCCAAAUUCAAGCCAAAGAGAUUGCCUGAUCUAGAGAUUCGUCCCAGUUUUGGUGGUCGUGCUAGAAAGCUCACAGGAUCAUUGGAAGCCCAUGCAAAUGGGUUACGGUAUACUACUUCAAGGUCUGAUCAGCGUGUGGACGUUAUGUUUAGCAAUAUCAAACAUGCAUUUUUCCAGCCAGCAGAGAGGGAAAUGAUUACCUUGGUCCACUUUCAUCUGCACAAUCACAUUAUGGUGGGAAACAAAAAGACCAAGGAUGUACAAUUUUAUACAGAAGUGAUGGAUGUAGUCCAGACACUUGGUGGUGGAAAGAGGUCUGCCUAUGAUCCUGAUGAGAUUGAGGAAGAGCAUCGUGAGAGACAACGAAAGAACAAAAUUAAUAUGGAGUUCCAGAACUUCGUGAACCGAGUAAAUGAUUUGUGGGGGCAACCUGAGUUCAAAUCUCUUGACCUCGAGUUUGAUCAGCCCCUUAGAGAGCUUGGCUUCAAUGGAGUACCUCAUAAAUCCUCAUGUUUCAUCGUCCCAACUUCAAGCUGCCUGGUGGAGCUGAUAGAGACACCGUUUGUGGUAAUUACUCUAAGUGAGAUUGAAAUAGUGAACCUUGAAAGAGUUGGUCUAGGGCAAAAAAACUUUGAUUUGACUAUUGUAUUCAAGGACUUCAAGCGGGAUGUAUUUAGAAUUGAUUCCAUCCCAUCAACAUCACUAGAUGGCAUCAAGGAGUGGUUAGACACAACUGAUCUCAAGUAUUAUGAGAGCAGGUUGAAUCUUAAUUGGCGGCCUAUACUGAAGACCAUUACCGAUGACCCUGAAAAGUUCAUAGAAGACGGUGGAUGGGAAUUCUUGAACUUGGAGGUGAGUGAUUCUGAUUCUGACAAUUCUCAGGAGUCAGACCAAGGGUAUGUGCCUUCAGAUGUACAGUCAGAAUCAGGUUCAGAAGAUGAGGAUGAUGAGAGUGAGUCAUUGGUGGAGUCCGAGGAUGAUGAGGAAGAAGAGUCUGGAGAAGACUCGGAAGAGGAAGAGGGAAAGACAUGGGAAGAGUUGGAGAGGGAAGCGACCCAUGCAGACAGGGAAAAAGGAAAUGACUCCGACAGUGAAGAGGAGAGGGCAAGAAGGAAGGUGAAGUCUUUUGGAAAAUCUCGGGUACCAGACAAGAGAAACCUUGGUGGCAGCCUUCCUAAGAGGCCCAAAUUUAGGUGAGUUUUGACAAAGUAUGCAGCAGUUUGAGCCUUUGAGCCACAGCAUGACUGGCCAUUUAAUUACCAGUAUUAUAGGAAUUCUAUUUGCUGAUAUUAAAGAAAAAGUAAUAAAUAUAAAAAAGAAAAAAAACAAUCGACAGGGCUUUUGUUUUACAUUUGUUGUUCGACUUGUAUGUUAGAACUGACCAACUUUUGCAAAAACUAGUCAAAAAUUACGUACGGUUCAUAAUUUCAUAUGUGCAUGUAUUGGCAACCGAAAUUACAUGUGUUUUGUGUGUUUGUUUCAUCAAUCCAUGUAUUUUUUUUUUGGUUUGUUUCAUGAUUUUCAUCAAUUCAAUUCUUGAAUCGUAUACUCAUGUAUUGGACUUAAAUGUAACGUAUGUGUUCUAAGGUGCUUUGCAACCCCAUUCCUACUCUCCCCAUGGAUUAUGAUCUCCAAUUCAUUCAACAACAGUUCAACUUUGAAUGCUCUCAAAAAGUUCAACUUUGAAAAGACAGGUUCAGACCGUUAAAGGAUAUUGCAAAGACAAUGGUGACCAUGAUCAGAGACAGCUUCGAAAUGCAUAGAAAAUUGCUGUAAAUUUCACCGGCAAUUAUCCCAACCAUGAAUAAACUUGCACUAUAUUGCUACAAAUGCCAAUGAUACAAGCACACAUAACCGUGCAGCAACUCAGUAUACAACAGAUUGCACACUACAGACGUUACAAAUGAGCAUGUUUUCACAUUCCAAAAUGAAUAACUGUAUGAUACACGAGUCGCGCCACAACCAUGGAGUCCGAAAGUCUUCUUUUAUGACUUGACAUCUUUUAGGACUCCCCCCUUUUCAAGCUCACCAACUAAAUCCCUUAAUGAGGGAACUUUCAUGGCUAAUGUCCGAUACAGCCGAGAAUACCUAGCUCGAGUUCCAUCUGCAGUCCUUGCCAAGGCAAGCACGCUUAGAGCCUCAGGGAGUUGGGAGAAUACAUGUUUCAUCUCCUCGAGGCCCAUAUUCUCUAGAACCGAAGGUCUUGGGACAACCCUCACAAUCUCACCACCUUUAGGCUCUUGAAUCUUGGAAUCUGCUUUGAUAACUAAUUCUGAAUUUGAGUUUGCUCCACACUUGAUGAUGAAUGGGGUUGUUGAGCCUGUAUUGAACUGUAGGACAUUCCAUUGGGCCACAUCAGUUUCAGUACCAUAUCCGAAAUCUGUAGAUGGUUUGCGAGCAUGUGAUUGUUCAUGAAGACCAUCAUCUUCUUCAGGAAUGGACUGCAAGCAACAUAGAAGUUAAAGCGGGUGAACAAACAAAAAAGUACAAUACAUUGUAAGGGAAAUGUAUAAAUGCACUGAAGGAAAAGAAGAACUUGAUAUAUCAGUUAGAAAGAGGCUUUUUUAACUUCAAUACUCAAGACCAAAGUAGGGAAUACAAAAGGAUCCAUGAUUGUAUAUGCGUUUGCUUGAACCCGUUCUUGUCUUCAAGCUACUAAAUGAGUUUGUAUUGAGCUCAAUUUCAGUUCACUUCUAUUGUUCCAGUAAUUACAGUUACUGGAAACCUUACUUAGGUUGAAUGAACAGAGCAGGUCCAAAAAGAGCAUAAUAAGAUUCCAGAUAGGAAAACCGCAAUAGACAACCAAUGAAAAACAACGAUGAGAAAGAAGUGAGAGUGCAAAAAAGAAAGUUAACAUGGCAAUUUAAUAUCUAAUUUCUUUUUCUAUCUUUUGUUUAUUAAUGACGAAUUGGUUUCACUAUCCAGAAUUCUCCCUACAGCACAUAAUGUAGCUUCUGUACUAGUCACGCUCGUCCAUACAGCAUUUUGUAACUCAAUUGCAAAAAUUGAAGAAGCAUAUGCCAAAUAUGUAUAUCUAAUGAUUCAGCAUUUCGCAGAUACCUGAAUCACAUGACGAGCAUCUGAAAUUUGCCUUUGUGCACAUGGAUGAUCAAUCUCCAGAAGGGAAGGCAUUCGUUCGGCAAGUUCAUCUAGAGAAGCAAGCAAUAGUUUUUUUUUACUCCUGCUCAAGGUGCUUACAGAGGAUUGUCGCAUUAUAUCCUGCAAUGUAGACAUAUUAUGAGUUCUCCUUUCCAACAAUACCCCAAAUCAAUAAGGAAAACACGAAAACUGCAAGGAGGCAAACCUUGACUUGCUUCACUAUGCCAUCAAGGGAAAUGAGAGAUGCUAAUCGUGCAUCUUCAGCCGCAGUAGAGGGAUUCUGAAUAGGCGGACCUCCAUCUUCCAAUGUCAAUAAGGCUGCAUCACUUCUUAUUUGUUGCAGAAUCUGAUAAAACCAUAAAUUAGCACAAUAUCCGAGAAUUUGUUUGUCAAGAGUCUAGAAUAGAAUUACAGAGGCAGUAAUAGAAUUAUAUCAUUUUUCCUUGUAAGGUUGUUCGUUUCAUUUCAAGAUGUGCAGAUAAAAAAGGACUACCUUUCUCCUUUUGUGAUCAACCGACUCAAGAGCUGAUCGCAGUUUCGCAACUUGUGCUGCAUCUUCUGCCCCUUCUGAUGCCAAUGUCCCAGCAAUGUCCUAGAAUAUAAAAAGAGAAAUUGAAAAGACAACCAAUAAUUCAUUGAUAGAGAUUCCGCAAGUGUUUAUUAUCAAAGAAGUAAUUCAGCCCUCACACAUUUUGAUGGACCAAAAGAAAAAAGUAAAAUUUAUAUCAGCAAAAAACUCAAGAAUGCUAUCUACCUUCAAGUGCUGCAACUGAGAACUAUAAACCCGCUUCGAAUACUCAGAUAGAAGUUGACCAAGAGCAUCUGUAUUUGGAGGAAUUGCAGCACCAAGUCCAGCCAUCCAACCAUCCAUUAUUGCAGUUGAAAGAAGUUCCAAUUGACCAGUUGCGCCUCCUGAUGCGUCAUCUCCCGUGACAGAGAGAAAGUCAAAAUGCUCUGCAAGCCAGGAUCUGAGUUGGCGCUGCAGCUCACCGGCUGGUGUAUGAACAAAGAGAGCAGCAAGAGCUUUAUUUCCAACUGCAAAAAUUUUUGCUUCCUCAUUUAUUUCCCUAAGCUUUCCUGCAGUUAUCUGCUGCCGUGGAGAGUCCUGUACAUUUAAGCGCUUAGAGCCACGUCUUAUAAACCAUUUCUAGCAAAAGAGAACUGUAAAAGCAAAGUGCAAAACUAUUUAGAGUACGUGUACUUUGGUAAUGAAAAAAAGGAGUAUCCAAAGACUUUAACAGAAGAGAGUACAACAAUCUCCUCCACUAAAAUAGAAAUAUUGGCUAAUCCUGUGGUCUGGCUUCUGUCUGUGUUGGAAGAAUUCUCUCCAAAUCCAGGAGAGAGAGAGAGAGAGAGAGAGAGAGAUAGAGAGAGACAGAGACAGAGAUAGAGGCAGAGAGAUAGAGAGACCACAACUUAUAGGAGCUACCUGAUCAAGUCCGCGUAUCUUUGAUACAACAGAUGAGAACUUGGAUUUCUUUUCUGGCUUUAGAUUCACUUUGAACCCUUGGACAUGCACAUCAACAUAGCUCACAGGAGAUCUUCCAGGGCUGCUACCCCGACUGGAGCUUCUACUACGUCCAGUAUUAGCCUUCUCUAGAAAAUUCUCAACGGGAGAAACCUGUAAAUAAAAAGAUGGAAAUACAGUAAGCACUAAAUCAUAUGCAGGGAAAAGAAAAAUAUAGCAACAAAGUGAAAAGUCACGUGACUUAUUUCAUUACCUUGAUGGACUGCAGCUCUGGUGAUCUAGCAAGCAAAGAUCUAAUAUACAAAAUUCUAACACGGGAUACAAGCAUGGUAUCCAUUACCCGCUGCGGUUCCAUUUUACGAAUAAAAGAGAAAACAGCAUCUCUUAUUUCAGCAAGUAUUUCAUGCUCCCUAGAAGCCCCAGCUUUAAUUACUGCAGCCAGAACCUGUAAGAGAGAUUACAUGUGCACAUCAAACUUGAAUAAUAACGAAUUACCAAUAUGAAAACUAGAUGCAGCGUGUUCGCAGAAAUGAUAAAAAUAAUCAUCCCCACCAAGCCAAUCAACUUGGUGGUAACGUUUAUUUUUUGGUUGAUAUUUUUUUCUUUUGGUAAACGGAAGUUACAUAUGACAAAAGUUAACCAUCAAUAUCUCAUAUUAAGACAUUAUGACACAUCCAUUAUCAUUGCACAUUAUCAUAAAUGAAACAAAUAAAGCCAAUGACCAACCUACCAGCAUCAAAAGUUUGUUUGCACCAUCUGAAAUGGCAGCAAGACUGUCGUGUUGUUCAGGGUCAAAAUCAUUCAAGGCAGAAGUUAGAUAUUCUCCUGCAGGGGUAGUUUUGACUUUCUCAAGACCUGAUUUUACCAGGGCAACUGUACCAUCAGUUUUAUCUGCAGUAACUGCUAGUGAUGAAGGAACUUCCAUCGACUGCCCUCUACUAUCAUUCCUGUUUUAAAGUAAUGAAAAGAAAGUUUAGUGAAAAUCUUCUUUCUAGGAGAAGCAAACUGUUGAAAAGUAGAUUAUAAGACAAAAAUUAUAAACACUUAAGUAUUACCUCCCAAGGUCCCGAGACUGAACAUUUAGCAUCCCCUUUGAUAAUGGACUUGACAACUGAGAGAGAAAAUUACAUAAUCAGAAUUCUUGAAUAAUCCUAAAUCUCACAUCCAACCAAAAGAAAUUGAUGUGUACACAGUUUAUCUGAUCAACACGGCAUCAGAAGUAAGGGAAAAAAAGUGAUAGUUUCCACAAGACGUCACAUCAGAGAUAAUGAAAAUUCAUAUGACAUCACGCUUCUGCUAUUAAAACAUUUCAUAGUUGGAAAAUCCCCAAACUUUUCAUUUAUCCAAUGGCAUAAAGAAUAAAAGAAAUACAUAUUAAUACAUGAAAUAGCUACCAUGGAGUCAGAGACUCUGCUUCUGAUGAAACAAGAAAGUCUAUGUAUGCAACAAUAAGGACAUCAGAUGUGAUUUGACAAACAAACGGGGAAAGAUGGAGGAGGGCGGGACGACAAGAACAACAACAACAUAAUGAUGUAGCACAGUAGCAGAUACAUAGGAGUGCGUGUGUGAUUUGAAACUGUAUAACAAGAUGUCCUCCAAAAAAAUUUAAUGAAAAUGGAAUAGAAGAAACCUGUGGUGGUGCAGCCAAAGAUGCUUUCUCUGUUAAUCUAUCGAACAACUUUUCAUUUUCUUCAUGCAACCUCUGAAGAGAGAGCAUAGUAAUCAUUUCAGAACCAACCAGAACAGUACAAGCAUACUAAAUGACAUUUGAAAAUAUAUAAAGAGACCACAUUUUGAUGCACAGAUGAAAAACCAUGAAUGAAAUAGGAGACUACUACACAACAAAACUACUUAUUCCAAAGGACUGCAGUUUUUAACUUUUUAUGAGUCAAUUUAAUUUGAAACAAAAUACAAGAAAAGCAAAACCAGAGGUAAGUUCAAAGGAGACCAGAACAUAAUCAUGCCUUGUGUGUCGUUACAGUAGUUUUUGCAUUGUAAAUAAAAGAAAGAAGUCCAUAUCGGGAAUAUUCACGCUUGUAGCAUGACGUUCAAAGGCAUAGCUACAUGGGCAUCAGAUAAGUACUUGACCCUGCUCACCAGCUUGACAGAGUCCAUUAUGUCAUUAAGUUUUUACUUUUAUAUAAGAAAAGUAAGUGGUUUUGCCCCUUCUAAAGCAAUAAAAUAGUUAUUUUUAAAUAAUUUUGUGACACCUGAUUCUAAAAAAUACUUUGUUUCUUUGGUAUCUAUUCUUCUCCUUCUCUUCCGAUCCUCUCCUUAAUUUGUUUAUCAUUCUUUUUUACAAGUUUGUUCUUUCUUUUUUCCAGUUAUUAUCAUAGGAAGAAACUUCAGGGAAAUAUAUCUUCUUUCUACCUCGUUAGAUGAUUAUUUGUGGAUUAGUAUAAAGUAUUUUAAAACCACCCAGUACUAGCUAUGUAAGUUUGACCACUCUUAACAAAAAUUUUGGCUACAGCACUGAUGAGAUCUAUAGAAUGGAUAAUACAUGGAUACUCUCUGAUAACUCCAGACUUCAAUACAUGCCCCGUUCUGAUUCAUUGUAUUUCGAACAGGAUGGAUAAAACGUACUCUAGCCCAUAUACAAUUUCUUCUUCUUUUUCCAGUACCUAGAAUUCCCCAGAACCCACUUCGUGGACCAGGGAUCAGAAAUGAACUGAGACCUCCUUUCAAACCCUUUAAGCCAUAUGAGAUACGAAACUCUAGAAAAUAGACAGGUAGAUACAGUGAGGGUGUCCGUAAUGCACAUAACACAGGAGCAAACCGUGGCCUUAACGGUUCCUACUAACCCCUCAUUGUCUAGCCCAUGUACAGAAAACAAUGCUAACAAAUAUAAGAGGCCAUGUUUGGAUGUCUUGGCAAUCCAUGAUCACUGAGUAACUAGCAUUAUUUUACACAGAAAACAUGUAGACUUACGGCCGAACAGCAUACCUCUAUUAAUGCAUCCCGUUUUUUAAGCUCCUCUUCCAGUUUCUUAGUUACAGGCGGAGAUUCCAUGUCAUCCCCAGUUGCCUUGGAAUUUGACAGAGUUGCAGACCCCAGUUCUGAGCCUAAUGUUGACCGGCCAUCAUGGGAAUGAAGAGCUUCAUUGAGUUUGGAUUCAAUACUCUUAACUUUGUCCUGAACCAGCAGUUAAACUUAGAGAACACCAUACAGUGCAACCUUGCAAACUAAAAUUUCUUGAUCAAUAAAAUAAUUAAAAUAUAAAACUGAAACUUCUAUAUAAGUGAUGUAACUAUAGGUCCAUUCAUUCGACCCCUUUUAACAAUAUAAUGAAAUUGAACGUCAAAACAUCCACUUGACAAUGAAAAAAGUGCCACCAAUACUUUAAUGAGGAAACCACAUACAGCAACAUACAUCUAUAACUAUUUUAACUAUGAUUGGGCUGAAUUAUAUCUCAUACAAUGUCGAACAAUAGCCAUGCAAACAAAGCCCAACUGCUGACCCCCACAGUUUUUUACAGUAGUUGAAGGCGAACAUUAAACUCUAACAGAAGUAAAUGGGAAUAAUAAGCAGACAUAACCAACCUGCAGAGCCUGAAUCGUAGAAUCUCGCUGUUCAAUCUGUAUCUUUUGGUCUUGCUCUACCUGUAACAGUUGAGCAACUUGGUUUCUAAGCUGUGCGUUUUGUUCCCUUUCUAUCUUUUGCUUAUCCGCAAGCAUAAUAUUCUCUGACUGCAUCAAAUGAGAAUAUUAACCAGUUUAGCAGCUACAUGAUCAAUAACAAAUCAAACUAUCAAAGUAGAUGGAAAAACACCAACAACGCAAUAAUAAAUAGACUACUUGAAUCAACUGUAAAGAAAUUCAUCAACUGGAGUUGCUGAACUAAGAAGCCAGAAUGCAUUAAGAUUAGUUAUUAAUCUUGAACAUCUUCAAAGUUUUAAGCAAGUAAGCAACUGAGUUGGGAAGAAAUUUUUCUGACUUCCAGUAACAUGUAAGGCAGUCUUUAUUUUAUCUUUAAGAGAAAGAAAAAAAUCGGAACAUGACAUAAAGAUAAACAGCAUAAACCAGAAAGCUACACCAAAUAUGAAUGAUAAAUUAACAGUAGACAUGAGGCCCAUUAUUAAGAGAAACAAACAGCAUAAACCAGAAAGCUAGACCAGAUGUGAUUACUAGCAACAACCAGUACCGUCCAAGUCAAUUUGAAAACCUUAGGAAAUUACACAACCUUUAAAUCCGACUGCAAUGUAUAAGAAACUUUCCACGCCUUCUGGACUUCAUUGAAGAGCAAGACACACUGAUCAUUAGCAUCCUUCAGUGCAUGUUUAAGUCCCAAAACUUCUUGUUUCAGAUCUUGACAUUCUUUUUCUUUUUCAUACAACUCCCUGCGUGCAUCAUUUGCCUACAAGAGCAAUCACAAAUUCAGAAUCAAAAAUCGAUUUUAUAAUCUUUACUCAUAUCAGUGUGUUAACUGGUACAAACUCAAGAAGUAAAUUGUCUUGAAGGAAUUAUGAACUAAGCAAGUUUAUAUUGGGACUCCAGGUUUAAAUUGAUGAAAUGGUUAUUUCUAUACCAAGAUUAAAUUAACUUUUUUGUCUCAUUUUAAGCAUUUAAUUAACUCCUAACAGCAAUAACUCAAGUCCAGAGAGAGAAAGAUAAAUAUGAUAAAUAAAGAGAGAGGAACUCACUGUAUCUCUCCAUUUCUUAAUUGUAUCUCGAUUACCAAGGCUUAGAACAGCAUUUCGAGCUCUAGAAGCAAAAUUGAGGGAUGAUAAUGUCUCCGACAGAUUCAACGCAUUUGGACAGACGUUAACAAUCAUCAGAGUUUUUGAACUUCCACCUGCAGAAGGUUUACACGAUGGUCAAUCUGACACAAUAACCAUCAAACCAGGCAACCAGAAAAGUAAAUAAAACAAUUUUCGUUACUAUUGCUCUUUCAUCGUAGAAUGAUAUAUGACCAAAAUCAGUUAUAAGUUAUAACAUAAAUGUCAAAACAGCUCUGGAUAAGGUGGUUUAGUAAUAAAGAAAAGAAAAAAAAGGAAAUAGGAUUACCUAGUGAGUCUGCAAGUACUUUAGUGAGCAUUGAAUUUUCAUAAGGGAUAGCAUCCUUUUUCGAAGUCAAAGAAGACAAUACAUCUCCCAAUCUGCAUGCACAACAUCAAAUGCAAUUGAGUACAGGAAAACAGGAGUAAAUUAGAAGCAACAACAUUUUGCACAUUAUAAAAAGAGAUGAUACAUCAACAGAUGCAGUGUUCAUGCAAAAACUCAGCAUGGGCUGAAAAAAAAAAUCUAACUUUCGUUGCAAUAAACUAAAAACUCUUAUUAUCAUCAAAACAUACGCUGAAAGUGAUUUCAUGACAUGCAGCAAGUCCGUCACACGCUCACUGCUAUCAUCUUCAGCAAUUAAGCCUUCACUUCCAGCUAAGUCAACCAUAGAGAGCUUGCUGUAUGUAUUUUCCCCAGUGAUCAAAUUAUUGUAGUAUAUAUGUAUUGUGAUGAUCCUGAGAAUAGAGAAACCAGAAAUCCACCUCAGAUAAGUUAUUUUAUCUUACGUAUAACCAUAAACUAAGAAUUGCUAUUAAUUUAUACAUGAAGUUUAACAAUACAAACUUUGGUACAUACAAAUGAGAAACGUUGAACUUUGAGGGAUCAUUUCCUCGUCUCUGAAAUGCAGCUUUCAAUACUUUAGAGAAGUCCAGUGGGUUAUCAACUUUUUCCUGGACAAGUUCUACAAAAAAAUCUGGAGACCCCAUGCGAAUCUUUGGCAAAGCAUCUCCUGAUUCUGAGAGUAAAUCCCUAAUCUAAAACAACAAUGAUGGAUUCAGAUCAAAACUACGAUGAGAACACCAUGCUCGAAAACCAUUUAGAUAAACCAGAAACCAGUAUAUAUUUGUUAGAAUUACACACCUGUUCAUUGUAGAGCUCAAAAACUGUAACAGAGAACUUGAAUCUAGAAGUAGAAGUUGUAUCAGAAUUGGCUAGAUCAAAUAGCUCCUCGAACGAACGAGCAUAUAAACCACGGUCAUGGCUAGAACCUUCCUGGAAAUUGUCAAAAACGGCCAAAUAUCAUUAAGUUGUUGUUUGAAGUGAACGUGAUAGAAUUGAAACUACUCUGAUUAAAAAUGAAAUGGGCAAAAAGUAUCAUAACAAUAAUUUUAAAGUAAAUUCUGCCUAUUUCUAGAUGAAAGAUGAAGAAGGGAUACUUCACAGGGAUUUAAGGUUCAAUCAAUGGUCAAGAAUCACUUUUAGUUUGUUUUGAAAAUUUGUUGCAUGAUUUACAAAUAUCAAUCGUUUCAUACAGGAAUUUUAGAAUAAACUUUUGAAGUUAUAAGACCUUUAUAGCAAUAUAGCAGUCUAUGAUGGAUCGCAUGUUGACAUAGACACACAGAAUUAUAAGAAUGAGACGACAAAAGCUCAGAAAGAAAGAGAGAGGAAAAGAGAGUAACCAUAGUGUGUGUCUUUCCUGAGUUGGUUUGCCCAUAAGCAUAGAUGGAAACAUUAUAUCCAUCCAAUGCUGAUUGCACCAAUGGCUGAACAUCACGGAAAAGUUCAGCUGACAAACAAAAUAAUGACAGAGAUAUUUUAGAAACACACGUACAAUAACGCCGGUGUAUAUAAAUGUGUAUAUAUAUAUAUAUAUGAUGUAGGACAACAGCAAUGUGAAGGAGAAAAUAGUGAAAGAAUAAAAGGUUUUCUCACCUUGUCCAACAUGAGGUCCAUAAACUCUAUCGAGUUCAAAUUCCUUCUUGGGGUUGGCCAAGGCUGCAUCACCAGUGGUGACACGGAUAUUGCAAUCAUCUGGAUAUUCAACAACUGAGGGACCUUCAUCCUCGAAUAAUGGUCGUGUACGACAAUAUACUUUAAUGUUCCCUGGAAUUAAAAAUGCUAAUUAAAACCGACUGCCACAUUCAAAUUUUGUAACCCUGACAACACUUGAACAACUUUGCAGCAUAACUUAAUGUGAAAAAAAAUUAAUGCUGCAUACAUGUGUGUUUGUUUGAGUGUGCGUGUGUCCAAAUGAGAGAGAGUUCCAAAAGAAGAAAACUCACAGAAGAUGAGUACCUUUGGCUGUCAAUAAGUCAUUGAACAACCUUCUCUUCUCAUUGAUCAGCGGAGCAAUUCUAGCCUCGGUUUCAAGCGCAAACUGAUCUGAAAUUUUCCAACACAAACUUUCAAAACAGCACUAAAAACCUUACAAAAAGUAACACGGAGAGCAACAACCUACAUCCUUACCUAGCUUUCGGGUUUUUGCAGCAAGAACACCAAGAUACCGAGUAACUCUUUCGAGUUUCGCAUUCGAAUACUCACUCAACUCACUCGCUUCUUGUCUCAGCUCCAAGUAAUCCUCUUUCGCAAGCUGUCCAAUCAAAUCAAACACUACAAUCUUCACUAAACCAGCUUCAACGAGCUCAAAGCCCAAACAUUUACAGCUCAAUUUUCAAAAUGCACUUCAACAAAACCACUAAUCAUCUCGAUUAACCAAACCGCCAUACCUUAACUUUAUCCUGAAGCUUCUGGAGCUUGGACGCCACGGACUGGUUGGAAAGCUCGGACUGAGCCAACGCCGUGGCCGCCGAGAUCGAGUACCUCCUCCCGGGCCUGUAACCGUCGUCGUUGUCCGCCGUCGUCGUCGUCGACGAGGAGCUCGACCAUUUCCGUGGCUCGAAGCCACUGACCUCCCAGUUCCACUUGCUCCUCUGCUCCGCCAUUGUUGAAAAAACCUAGAGAGAAUUUGAAAUCGGCGAUUUCAAAUUUCCCCAAAUUUGAAAAGCAGAGGAAAAUGGCUUUUGGCUCUGGUGGACCUAGAGAAUUGGGAUCAUCUAUAUUUUCAAGUUUUUUUUUUUU